Molecule: ribosomal RNA, 305 nt
Filed under: uncultured bacterium
Lineage: Bacteria
Description: bacterial SSU rRNA
Rfam family: Bacterial small subunit ribosomal RNA
Source: RNAcentral
UUGUUCCUACGGGACGCAGCAGUGGGGAAUAUUGCACAAUGGGCGCAAGCCUGAUGCAGCGACGCCGCGUGAGCGAAGAAGUAUUUCGGUAUGUAAAGCUCUAUCAGCAGGGAAGAAAAUGACGGUACCUGACUAAGAAGCUCCGGCUAAAUACGUGCCAGCAGCCGCGGUAAUACGUAUGGAGCAAGCGUUAUCCGGAAUUACUGGGUGUAAAGGGAGCGUAGACGGCGAUGCAAGUCUGAAGUGAAAGGCGGGGGCCCAACCCCCGGACUGCUUUGGAAACUGUAUAGCUGGAGUGCAGGGGG